RNAcentral lists this ribosomal RNA (501 nucleotides) under uncultured bacterium. RNAcentral's name for it is "partial 16S ribosomal RNA". It matches the Rfam family "Bacterial small subunit ribosomal RNA", at positions 30 to 523 of the family's 1533-position model. The record is from RNAcentral.
AUUGAACGCUGGCGGCAGGCUUAACACAUGCAAGUCGAGCGGGGGAAGGUAGCUUGCUACCGGACCUAGCGGCGGACGGGUGAGUAAUGCUUAGGAAUCUGCCUAUUAGUGGGGGACAACAUCUCGAAAGGGAUGCUAAUACCGCAUACGUCCUACGGGAGAAAGCAGGGGAUCUUCGGACCUUGCGCUAAUAGAUGAGCAUAAGUCGGAUUAGCUAGUUGGUGGGGUAAAGGCCUACCAAGGCGACGAUCUGUAGCGGGUCUGAGAGGAUGAUCCGCCACACUGGGACUGAGACACGGCCCAGACUCCUACGGGAGGCAGCAGUGGGGAAUAUUGGACAAUGGGGGGAACCCUGAUCCAGCCAUGCCGCGUGUGUGAAGAAGGCCUUAUGGUUGUAAAGCACUUUAAGCAAGGAGGAGGCUACUUUAGUUAAUACCUAGAGAUAGUGGACGUUACUCGCAGAAUAAGCACCGGCUAACUCUGUGCCAGCCGCCGCGGUAA